This 497-nucleotide ribosomal RNA is filed under the name uncultured bacterium. RNAcentral's name for it is "partial 16S ribosomal RNA". It matches the Rfam family "Bacterial small subunit ribosomal RNA", at positions 28 to 507 of the family's 1533-position model. The record is from RNAcentral.
GAUGAACGCUGGCGGCGUGCCUAAUACAUGCAAGUCGAGCGAACAGACGAGGAGCUUGCUCCUCUGACGUUAGCGGCGGACGGGUGAGUAACACGUGGAUAACCUACCUAUAAGACUGGGAUAACUUCGGGAAACCGGAGCUAAUACCGGAUAAUAUAUUGAACCGCAUGGUUCAAUAGUGAAAGACGGUUUUGCUGUCACUUAUAGCUGGAUCCGCGCCGCAUUAGCUAGUUGGUAAGGUAACGGCUUACCAAGGCAACGAUGCGUAGCCGACCUGAGAGGGUGAUCGGCCACACUGGAACUGAGACACGGUCCAGACUCCUACGGGAGGCAGCAGUAGGGAAUCUUCCGCAAUGGGCGAAAGCCUGACGGAGCAACGCCGCGUGAGUGAUGAAGGUCUUCGGAUCGUAAAACUCUGUUAUUAGGGAAGAACAAAUGUGUAAGUAACUAUGCACGCCUUGACGGUACCUAAUCAGAAAGCCACGGCUAACUACGUG